Molecule: non-coding RNA, 75 nt
Organism: Rhamnusium bicolor
Lineage: Eukaryota; Metazoa; Arthropoda; Insecta; Coleoptera; Cerambycidae
Source: the annotation of a GenBank genome assembly
GGCUUCGUGGCCAUGUGGUAAAGACACUUGCCUCUCACACUGGAGUCGCGGGUUCGAUUCCCGGUCGAGGAGCUA